AGUAGUUUGAUCCGUGGCUCAGGAUAAACGCUGGCGGCGCACAUAAGACAUGCAAGUCGAACGAACUUAAUCGAAAGUUUACUUUUGAAGCGGUUAGUGGCGGACUGGUGAGUAACGCGUAAGCAAUCUGCCUAUUAGAGGGGGAUAACAGUGAGAAAUCAUUGCUAAUACCGCAUAUGCUGUGAGUAUCGCAUGGUACAAACAGGAAAGGAGUAAUCCGCUAAUAGAUGAGCUUGCGUCUGAUUAGUUAGUUGGUGAGGUAACGGCCCACCAAGACGAUGAUCAGUAGCCGGACUGAGAGGUUAAACGGCCACAUUGGGACUGAGAUACGGCCCAGACUCC
Molecule: ribosomal RNA, 342 nt
Filed under: uncultured Oscillospiraceae bacterium
Lineage: Bacteria; Bacillati; Bacillota; Clostridia; Eubacteriales; Oscillospiraceae
Description: bacterial SSU rRNA
Rfam family: Bacterial small subunit ribosomal RNA
Source: RNAcentral